RNAcentral lists this ribosomal RNA (253 nucleotides) under uncultured bacterium. Its description in RNAcentral is "partial 16S ribosomal RNA". It matches the Rfam family "Bacterial small subunit ribosomal RNA", at positions 524 to 776 of the family's 1533-position model. The record is from RNAcentral.
UACGUAGGGUGCAAGCGUUGUCCGGAAUUAUUGGGCGUAAAGAGCUCGUAGGCGGUCUGUCGCGUCUGCUGGGAAAACUCAGGGCUUAACCCUGAGCUUGCAGUGGGUACGGGCAGACUAGAGUGCGGUAGGGGAGACUGGAAUUCCUGGUGUAGCGGUGAAAUGCGCAGAUAUCAGGAGGAACACCGGUGGCGAAGGCGGGUCUCUGGGCCGUAACUGACGCUGAGGAGCGAAAGCAUGGGGAGCGAACAGG